This 82-nucleotide microRNA precursor is filed under the name Gorilla gorilla gorilla (western lowland gorilla). RNAcentral's name for it is "miRNA (ENSGGOG00000041911.1)". Lineage: Eukaryota; Metazoa; Chordata; Mammalia; Primates; Hominidae. The record is from RNAcentral.
UUUGGGAGGCUGAGGUAGGAGGAUCGCUUUUGCCUGGGAGUUUGAGACUAAGCCUGGGCAACAAAGUGAGACCUCCGUCUCU